Molecule: non-coding RNA, 729 nt
Filed under: Pan troglodytes (chimpanzee)
Lineage: Eukaryota; Metazoa; Chordata; Mammalia; Primates; Hominidae
Source: RNAcentral
GGGUUCCACUUGACUCUGCAUUCUCCUACUUCCCUGCCUGGUUACUCUCUGCCAUCAUAGUUUUUUGCUUCAACCUUCAAAUUUCCCUGCUGGGAAUAAAUUAAAUUGGCAGAAGCUCAGCCUAAGUGCCUGCAACAGAAUUUGUCCCAUAUCCAUACAACUUGCUCCUCCACAACAAAUGGGAGAAUCAUCCUCUUACCUCCAGCACCUGCCUCAAACAAAGUUUCUGAUCCAUCUACCAUGUAACUUUGACGCUGACCAAGAAUUACAGCUUCAAAGAAAUCAUUCGAGGAUCAUUAAUAUCUUGGUCAUGAAUAACUUUCAUGUGAAAGGCUCUGAAGCUAAUCUCAAGUGCAGUGAAUUCUGUUUCAUUACUGUAUUUCCAAAUAUUAGAGUUAUUUGGGUUGUAUAUAGGUCAGAUAAUUUACUUUUUUGUUUUCAACCUAAUAUAAAGCACUUCCAAACUUUCUGCCAUUUGCUAUUACUUUUCUCCCUCAGUGAGUGCCAAAUUAGCUCAAUUUUAGUUAAUUUGCAAGGUCUGACAAUCAAGGCUAUCCUCAGCAGCAAGCAGAAAAAUUUCUGAAUGACUAGAUACAAUUUCAAGGGACAAGAAAUUUCUCUGUCCCUGGCUCAUUGGCAAUGAGGUAUCACAGCCAGGGUUUAUUCUUCUGUGAUCAUGACAGUAUUUGAAGAACUCAACAAAAGAAUGUUAAUUCUGACAAUUUAUAA